CUGCCAACAAGUCGUCAACAAGUUGUAUUCGCACUGCUUGUCACAAGUUGUCAACAAGUUUGGAACAAGCUGUUAACAACUUGUAACAACCUUGUCGAUAUCAGACUUGUUGCAAGGUUGUUCCAACAAGUCCGAUACAGUCAUAUAACAAUAUUAGGGCCAUUUAUACGAGACAAAAUAAGACGCGACUUACAUAAGACGCGACUUAAAUAAGCGGAGUUAUCGCAUAAAUGGUUCUCUACGGCUUUAUUCUUAUUUACUUGCUAUAGCUAUAAUGUUGUUACGGUUGUUUUUGUUUUAAUAUGCAAGGCUAAUAAUUGUACGUUGUUUCAAGUUUCGGGCAUGUGUAGUUAGAAUGUUUGUCCAAAAUUUCUUAUUUAAGACGCGACUUACAUAAGAACAGCUAAAAGUCCUGUUCUUAUUUAAGUCGCGUCCUAUCCAAGACGCGUCUUACAUAAGAAUUUUGUGCCUUUUAUACGACAAACUCGCGUCUUAUUUAAGUCGCGUCUUAUGUAAGUCGCGUCUUAUUUUGUCUCGUAUAAAUGGCCCUAAUGUUACGACCUUGUGUCGUCAACCGUGUAACAUGUUUGUUAUAUCAUGGCUGUAUCAGACUUGUUAGAACAACCUUGUAACAAGUCUGACAAUGCCAUCAAGCUUGUUACAAGUUGUUAACAGCU
Non-coding RNA from Paramuricea clavata, 677 nucleotides. The record is from the annotation of a GenBank genome assembly. Lineage: Eukaryota; Metazoa; Cnidaria; Anthozoa; Malacalcyonacea; Plexauridae.